GACGAACGCUGGCGGCGUGCUUAACACAUGCAAGUCGAACGGAAAGGCCCUGCUUUUGUGGGGUGCUCGAGUGGCGAACGGGUGAGUAACACGUGAGUAACCUGCCCUAGACUUUGGGAUAACUUCAGGAAACUGGGGCUAAUACCGGAUAGGAGCUCCUGCUGCAUGGUGGGGGUUGGAAAGUUUCGGCGGUUGGGGAUGGACUCGCGGCUUAUCAGCUUGUUGGUGGGGUAGUGGCUUACCAAGGCUUUGAAGGGUAGCCGGCCUGAGAGGGUGACCGGCCACAUUGGGACUGAGAUACGGCCCAGACUCCUACGGGAGGCAGCAGUGGGGAAUAUUGCACAAUGGGCGGAAGCCUGAUGCAGCAACGCCGCGUGCGGGAUGACGGCCUUCGGGUUGUAAACCGCUUUCGCCUGUGACGAAGCGUGAGUGACGGUAAUGGGUAAAGAAGCACCGGCUAACUACGUG
This 468-nucleotide ribosomal RNA is filed under the name uncultured bacterium. Its description in RNAcentral is "partial 16S ribosomal RNA". It matches the Rfam family "Bacterial small subunit ribosomal RNA", at positions 28 to 507 of the family's 1533-position model. The record is from RNAcentral.